RNAcentral lists this transfer RNA (76 nucleotides) under Burkholderia territorii. RNAcentral describes it as "tRNA-Gly". It matches the Rfam family "tRNA". From Rfam's summary of the family: Transfer RNA (tRNA) molecules are approximately 80 nucleotides in length. The record is from RNAcentral. Lineage: Bacteria; Pseudomonadati; Pseudomonadota; Betaproteobacteria; Burkholderiales; Burkholderiaceae.
GCGAGCGUAGUUCAGUCGGUAGAACGGCAGCCCUCCAAGCUGCGCGUCGCCGGUUCGAUUCCGGCCGCUCGCUCCA